RNA transcript from Vigna radiata var. radiata (mung bean), 2581 nucleotides. It is a transcript of the gene named F-box/FBD/LRR-repeat protein At1g13570, with no coding region annotated. The record is from RefSeq and is a predicted model, not a curated record. Lineage: Eukaryota; Viridiplantae; Streptophyta; Magnoliopsida; Fabales; Fabaceae. The transcript is spliced from 5 exons.
UUAGGUAACGCAGUACCUUGCACGCAACAUUUUAGUUUUUCACUCUCAAUACUCAUCGCUCAGAAACAGAAAAGACAGAAUUUUUGCUCUAGAGUUUCAUUAAAGUGCCCACAAUUCUCUUCCUUUUCAUCUCUUCCCCAAAGCCCCUUUUUCUGAAAUUCAAUCCCAUGCUCGCUUGGAAUCCGUGAUCCAGCCCCUUCAGCUACAAUUCGCUUCCAAUCUCGCUAAUGGGUGCCUUUUAUCUUGGUACAUUCUAUUGGGUUCUUUCUCAAUGCAAACAAUUUAACCCUCAAUACUGUGUUUGUAUCAGAUCCUAGAUUUCACUACGUGGGUUCACAAUACCAGAAUAAAAAACCUGGGUUAGUGAUAUAUAUACUUAUACAAAGUAAAUGGGUGUGCUUUCCUUUUCUUUUUCUUUAAUGGGUGAUUUGAUUUCUGAAGAAUUGCCGGCAAAUUGAGCUUUUUUAUUGUUUUUUAUUCUGGUUCCUUGAGUUGUUGUGUUGUGAAUGAGGCGGGUCAUAAGAAUGGUUGAUGUGAUGGGUCCAGACUUGAUUAGUGAUCUUCCUCAAAGCAUUAUAGAGAGUAUUCUGGUGAAGCUUCCAAUUACAGAUGCUGUGAGAACUAGCAUUUUAUCUAGUAAAUGGAGAUACAAAUGGGCUUCAAUUACUCAACUUGUGUUUGAUGACAAAUGUGUGCCCUUUAGUAAUGAUAGGGAGAUUGUUGAGAGGAGUGUUGUCAAGUUCAUCACCAGGGCGUUGUUUCUUCACCAAGGGCCAAUUCAUAAGUUUCAAAUUUCGAAUUCGAUGUUGCAAAGCUGUCCUGAAAUUGAUCAGUGGAUUCUUUUCCUAUCGAGGAAUGAUAUCAAGGAGUUGGUUAUGGAGAUAGGAGAAGGGGAAUUUUUUAGAAUACCUUCAAGCCUUUUCAAUUGUAGGAAGUUGACCAGGUUGGAGCUGUCGCGGUGCGAGUUGGACCCGCCGCAUAGUUUUAAGGGGUUUGUGUGCUUGAGGAGCCUCAACCUUCACCAAGUUUUGAUAUCCCCUGAUGCAGUUGAGAGCCUAAUUUCCAGAUGCCCUCUCUUGGAGAGUUUAUCACUGUCAUAUUUUGAUAAUUUGGCUCUUACUAUCUCUGCCCCGAAUCUUAAAUACUUGUAUCUUGAAGGUGAAUUCAAGGAUAUAUGUCUUGAAGAUACUCCACUUUUGGUGGAAAUAUCUAUUGCUAUGUAUAUGACUGAUGAUAUUGCAGAGCACUUUGAGCAAAGCUCAAACUGCAAUUUUCUCAAAUUUCUUGGUGGUGUGCCUAAUCUUGAGAAGCUUGUCGGGCUUAUCUACUUCACAAAGUAUUUGAGCAUAGGUAUUGAUUCGGUGCAUCUUCCAAUAAUGUACCACAAUUUAGAGACUAUUGAAUUACAUCAAGUAAAUUUUGAGGAUACAAAAGAGAUACUUGUCAUCCUUCGCAUGAUUACAAGUUCUCCCAACCUAAAAGAGCUACAUAUUUCAGGUUCAUCGAACAUACCCAUUGCUGCAGAUGCCCCGGACUUGGAUUUUUGGGAAAAAGGAUGCCUUUCAGAUUCUUCACUUAACAGGCUUAAAACCGUGAAGUUGUCAGAAAUGGGUGGUUGGCCACAUGAGCUAGAAUUUAUCAAAUAUUUGCUUUGCCGUUCUCCUGUGCUUGAGACAUUGAGUAUCAUUCCCUGUGUAUUUGACAUGGGGAAUAAUUUGAAAAUGUUGAUCGAAUUGGUGAAAUGUCGAAGAGCUUCUUCUAGAGGAGAAGUUAUUUUCAUCCACGAGUGAAAUGUAUUUGCAGUGACUAUCUUGGCCCAAAAUAUAAGAAUGGUAUACCGACACAAAUUCAGCCAUUCAAUGUGCCACAAUUUGUAUGUGCUCUUUGCCUUUGGCAUAGUUCAUAUCUACUAGCAAAUCAAUUUUCUUCAUUUCCAACCUCGAUUUGUAGCAACUUUAUGUACUUACAAAGUCGAAGAGGUAUCUUGUAAAGACACCUCAACUCCAAAGCUCUCUCAACCUUUCAUUUGCCAACUAUUCUUUCUCUUCCUCUCAGGACUUGUCCCACACUAGAUGAACGGGGGUUGUGCUUGUAGAAUAUUCUCCCACGUUCAAGUCCGUUUUUAGAAUAAAAGAAUAGUCAAAAUGACAUUUAAUGCAAAAAGUAAAAAUCAAAAUGUGAUUAUUGUCGUAUUUAUAGCAAUAUUUUAAUAUUUAGGGGUCUUUAGCUGAAUGGGUCUAGGUGGACCUAGUGGUCCAAUGACUCAUCUAUCUUAAGCAAUGGUUAGCCAAAUAUGAUUAAGUUAUGUUGUACAUGAUUCAUCAAUAUCUUCAGCAGGUGAUACACGUUAAUGGUAGAAAGUAGGCAACUUCUUACACGUGAUAGUUAGGUAUUGAUAAGCAACACCAGGUUCUAGUAGAUAGCAAAUAAAACUUGGUGUUUUUGCAUUCAGCCUCCGUAGGCAACACUUGAUCUUUGGGAGGGAGCACAUAACAUUCGUCACUCGAUGUUCAAAGCAUUUCAAACAUAAUGUUAUGACGUGCUUUUAGAAUAUUGUGUGUAAUGCACUGCAUGCUAGAGG